AAUUGCAAUUGAUACUGGCAGUCUUGAGUACAGUUGAGGUAGGCGGAAUUCGUGGUGUAGCGGUGAAAUGCUUAGAUAUCACGAAGAACUCCGAUUGCGAAGGCAGCUUACUAACCUGUAACUGACAUUGAUGCUCGAAAGUGUGGGUAUCAAACAGGAUUAGAUACCCUGGUAGUCCACACGGUAAACGAUGAAUACUCGCUGUAGGCGAUAUACGGUCUGCGGCCAAGCGAAAGCAUUAAGUAUUCCACCUGGGGAGUACGCCGGCAACGGUGAAACUCAAAGGAAUUGACGGGGGCCCGCACAAGCGGAGGAACAUGUGGUUUAAUUCGAUGAUACGCGAGGAACCUUACCCGGGCUUGAAUUGCAACCGAAUAUGGCGGAAACGCCAUAGCUAGCAAUAGCGGUUGUGAAGGUGCUGCAUGGUUGUCGUCAGCUCGUGCCGUGAGGUGUCGGCUUAAGUGCCAUAACGAGCGCAACCCUUGCCGAUAGUUACUAACAGGUCAUGCUGAGGACUCUGUCGGGACUGCCAUCGUAAGAUGUGAGGAAGGUGGGGAUGACGUCAAAUCAGCACGGCCCUUACGCCCGGGGCUACACACGUGUUACAAUGGGGGGUACAGAGGGCUGCUACCACGCAAGUGGAUGCCAAUCCCAAAAACCUCUCUCAGUUCGGAUUGAAGUCUGCAACCCGACUUCAUGAAGCUGGAUUCGCUAGUAAUCGCGCAUCAGCCACGGCGCGGUGAAUACGUUCCCGGGCCUUGUACACACCGCCCGUCAAGCCAUGGGAGCCGGGGGUACCUGAAGUGCGUAACCGCAAGGAGCGCCCUAGGGUAA
RNAcentral lists this ribosomal RNA (834 nucleotides) under uncultured organism. RNAcentral's name for it is "SSU rRNA". It matches the Rfam family "Bacterial small subunit ribosomal RNA", at positions 619 to 1465 of the family's 1533-position model. The record is from RNAcentral.